ACGAACGCUGGCGGCAGGCUUAACACAUGCAAGUCGAACGAUAUAGUGGCAGACGGGUGAGUAACGCGUGGAAACGUGCCUUUCACUACGGAAUAGCUUUUGGAAACGAAAGGUAAUACCGUAUACGCCCUCCGGGGGAAAGAUUUAUCGGUGAAAGAUCGGUCCGCGUUAGAUUAGCUAGUUGGUGAGGUAACGGCUCACCAAGGCUACGAUCUAUAGCUGGUCUGAGAGGAUGAUCAGCCACACUGGGACUGAGACACGGCCCAGACUCCUACGGGAGGCAGCAGUGGGGAAUAUUGCACAAUGGGCGCAAGCCUGAUGCAGCCAUGCCGCGUGAAUGAUGAAGGCCUUAGGGUUGUAAAAUUCUUUCGCCAAGGAUGAUAAUGACAGUACUUGGUAAAGAAGCCCCGGCUAACUUCGUGCCAGCAGCCGCGGUAAUACGAAGGGGGCUAGCGUUGUUCGGAAUUACUGGGCGUAAAGCGCACGUAGGCGGACUUUUAAGUCAGAUGUGAAAUCCCGAGGCUCAACCUCGGAACUGCAUUUGAAACUGGGAGUCUAGAGAUCAGGAGAGGUUAGUGGAAUACCGAGUGUAGAGGUGAAAUUCGUAGAUAUUCGGUGGAACACCAGUGGCGAAGGCGACUAACUGGACUGAUACUGACGCUGAGGUGCGAAAGUGUGGGGAGCAAACAGGAUUAGAUACCCUGGUAGUCCACACCGUAAACGAUGAGUGCUAGUUGUCUGCAGGCAUGCCUGUAGGUGACGCAGCUAACGCAUUAAGCACUCCGCCUGGGGAGUACGGCCGCAAGGUUAAAACUCAAAGAAAUUGACGGGGGCCCGCACAAGCGGUGGAGCAUGUGGUUUAAUUCGAAGCAACGCGCAGAACCUUACCUACGCUUGACAUGCCCGGACGAUUUCCAGAGAUGGAUCUCUCCCUUCGGGGCCGGUGCACAGGUGCUGCAUGGCUGUCGUCAGCUCGUGUCGUGAGAUGUUGGGUUAAGUCCCGCAACGAGCGCAACCCUCAUCCUUAGUUGCCAUCACGUUUGGGUGGGCACUCUAGGGAAACUGCCGGUGCUAAGCCGGAGGAAGGCGGGGAUGACGUCAAGUCCUCAUGGCCCUUACGCGUAGGGCUACACACGUGCUACAAUGGCAGUGACAAUGGGAUAAUCCCCAAAAGCUGUCUCAGUUCGGAUUGUCGGCUGCAACUCGCCGGCAUGAAGUUGGAAUCGCUAGUAAUCGUGGAUCAGCAUGCCACGGUGAAUACGUUCCCGGGCCUUGUACACACCGCCCGUCACACCAUGGGAGUUGGAUCUACCCGAAGAUUGUGAGCUAACUUCGGAGGCAGCAAGCCACGGUAGGUUCAGCGACUGGGGUGA
Molecule: ribosomal RNA, 1373 nt
Filed under: uncultured bacterium
Lineage: Bacteria
Description: bacterial SSU rRNA
Rfam family: Bacterial small subunit ribosomal RNA
Source: RNAcentral